CAAUCAGUUUCAGUUCUUCACAAUUCUUGAAUGCAAGAGAAACUACUUGAGAAAAAAAGGGGGGGGCUAGUUCUAACUCAAGUCAAAAUCCUCCAGAGCAUUUACAUUGUACAACUUGGCUGGAAGAUUUAGGUCGUCAAUUGUCUUUGUGCAAUUUCAGACGAAAAAGUAGCGGCAUUUAGCGAAACUACCACUGUCCAUGUAAGGAGCUUAUAAAUUCUGACACUAUCACUCUCUCAAUCGCGUUUGAGAAUCCAUUUUUUUGGAAGAAAAUCUCCCACCAAAUCCUUGCAAUAUGUCCCCGGGGAAAGAUCAAAAUCAGGUUUUGAGAGAUCUAGAGGAGAGGUUUGUCCAAGCCUGGAGGUUAAAGUCAUUUGCAAAUAUGGAUUUGAAAGGGGGACCUGAGAGUGUUGGAGCCAAGAUCAAUUAAGAACUGCAAUUCCAGCAUCCCAAUCGUCAUCUUACUACGAUUUGCAAGUGUUGACUUACAGAUGCAGAUGGCAGCCAGCAUUCUCACACUCUCAUCUGGAGGCUCACAAUCCGGAAAGAACGGCUUGGCCAUGUAUUUAGCGAAUGUUAAAGCCACAAUAGUGAUUGUACAAGGCCGCACGAUGAUGCACUCGGCCCACAAUCGGAUGAACCCGACGAAGGGUCCAAAAGUGUCCAGGAUGUAUGUGUAAUCCCCACCGGUCUUCUUGAUCAUGCAACCCAAUUCCGCGUAGCAAUAAGCGCCAAUCAUGGAGAACACGCCGCAAAUGAUCCAGACCACUAAAGCCAUAUUGAUGGAACCCGUGCCCAAGAGCACGCCACCGGGAGCAAUGAAUAUCCCGGAUCCGAUAAUGCAUCCCACGAUCACAGUACAACCUUGGACCAGGCCCAAAGUAGGUUUGAGUCCAACUCCACCGUCGUCCUCCUCUAAUUCCAUUUGUUCCACCUUCCGUUUGGCGGCCUCAUUUUGAGGCACGGAUUGAUAGUCCGCGGACAUCUUUGGAUGGGGUCGAGUUGAAUGAAACUAUCGCUCCCGAUUUGACAGAUACAGUAAGGAUUGCUUGUUUAGAUAGAGUUAUUGGAUAAAAUAUCUAGAACAGGGUGCAUCAGUAAUCACUUUUGGUCUACAUUUCGCUGAGCGAUAGAAAUUAGAAUCCGAAUGAUUUACCACGCUUUGAAUUUGCUGAAUUUGAGUGAUGAAUGAGGGAUAACAAGUUUAUGGAGCAUGCUCAAAAACUGUAAAAUCAUCCCCUUUUUCUGUAGUUGACACAUGAAGCGUCUUGAAAGGGUCAAAGGUCAAGAAUGUUAUAAUGUGCAGCAUCUCUUUUCUCUUAUUUUCACAAUGAAUGCGUGAGAGAAUGAGAGACCAACCCAAUGAGAGAAAAUGUUUCCCCAGAGUGCUCUUUGAUGAGUUCGUCUCAAGGGCUCCUUUAUCCAAAGCCAAACAAACACCAAGAUUACCACCCAACCACCUACUCGUUCACUUCAAUUUGGGUUGGAUGUACAUGAUCGAGUGCCAAAUAAAACCAGUCCGACGGAGUACAAGUGUGGUGGCAAAUCUUCCACAUUGCGGACGUAUUUCUUGCUUGUGUUGAUUUUCAGGUGGAUGUGGUCGCCACAGGUGGUUCUCUUUUAUGGAUAAUCAUCAUGGACUACCACGUGAAUUUAUGACCAUUUCUUUUCCCUCCUCUAUCGAACAAACCAUCAACCAUUCACCCUCUCGGUUGCUAACAACCACCUGCUUCAAAAUUCAUGAGAAAAAGAGCCCGAGCCUGGGUCACUUUUCCAUUGGCUCCUUUGUCUCAAAACCAAUCUGAAGGGUUUUUUUUUAAUAAAAAAAAUUCUGACCAACCCUGUACAUUCUUGCCUCUCUUCAGAUGUAUGUUGAAUAAUGAAUGUUCGAUUAGGAUUGGCUCAGGGCUUCUCAACUCUGUACCAAAGGUACACAGUGUCUUUUAAAAAAACAAGCUUUCUCAUUUUAGUCUUCAAAAUGCCAAAAUGAACCGAUUUUCCGAUCCAAUGCAGUACAAAUUGAAAGGCUCUCAAACCCCGUGGUAUCUGCCAAACCCUUUAGUAUGUUGUGUCCGAUGCACUGAAGUCAAUGAUUCAAAACACCACGUGUCAAGAUGAGAAGCUCAACCCAGAGAAGUCAUGUCUUUGUAAUCCAACAAUUCACACCAAGCACGUCAUGACGAUCAGGACCGGGCGAUAACGAAAACCGGACUAAAACUCCAUCCAGGGAUCGAGAGAGAAUCGGAGGAAUCUCAACACAUCCACACACUCUCUCAAUUCUUUUAUGUACGGGUACUUCUUGGAAGCACCGCAAGAAAGACGAGAGGAGUACGCACGAACCCGAGGAACAAGCGCUGACGAGCACAGAGAUGGUUAGAGAGGCCAGCCAGAGACGGCUCGAUUCCACUUGCUGACGUUCAAAUGGACCCGCUUUUUGAAUGAGAUAUAUCCUCAAAAUGCCCCUAGAGCUCGCCACAGAUGAUUGCUCUAUUUGAUCCCGGUUUCUCGUUCAGUUAUCACUUCAUGCCACUUAACCACACGACCUCCCCCGUUCAACGAUGUCACUCUUGAUCAAACGAUCAAAUGAUCUUGUCACGAACACACCCGAAGUUGUGGAAGUUUUAAUUCGCUUGAACAAGGAAGGCGAGAUUCUGGAGUAGAAGAGGAGCUCUGAUCUGGAUCGUGGUUGGAAAGUCAAGAUAAACAGGUGUUUAGGCCCCGUCAGCACCAACAACAACGACGACGACUUCUACCCUCACGGUGUUCAUGAUGAUCAAUGCUAGACAUUAAAAAAAAGCGCACUCUCCGCUUGCUUUCUGGGGCUUCACUCCCGUUUUUGGGAUGUGGAGCGUGUAGUAAAUGUAGUAUAUGCUGUUCAUACAGUGAAUGGAGGCUCUUCCCAUUUCUUGUGUACGUACGGUGUGAAGUGUGUACGUAGUAUUGUGUAGUUUAUGUAUGUACAGAACGACACGACAUGUUAUGGAGCUGUGGAACAUGGAGCAGGUAUGAAAUGCAUUGGCCAUGUGGCAAUCCUGACCAUAAGGCUAGGGAACCUUUCUUCGUUUCAGGACGACGGAACAUGUUCGCAUGGCAAGGACUUCUUGUGUGAUGGAUGGGGAUGAAGGCACGACUAAUUCAUCAAUUCAUUAUAAACCUGAUUAAUUACUGAUUUGGACCGUUUAACAGAUAAUUAUUUGAAUAAAUGAACAAUGCCCUUGAACUUUGAUCCACAUGUAAGGAAAAUGCCAAAAAAAUAGUCAGUCAUGUAUAAAUAGACACCUGAAGUAAGUAUCAGCGGUUGCAAUACCCGGAAAGGUUUCCACAAGUCUUAUCAUUCUGUCAAAUGGUCAUUGUAUUCAAAUUUGAAUACAAGUAUUACUGGACCACGUAAAAGAGUAGUAUUAGAGAUAUGGUGUAAAACAAAAAGCAUACGAAAAUGCCUCUACAACUAUCCCUUUUUCUAAAUUGUUUCAACAGACAUUUUGCCAAAAAUGCCUUCUGAGCAAAAACUAAAAUAAAAAGCCUCAAUGCGGAUCAAGCUUUCCCAGCACAUCAGAAUGCAAAUUCAAUGAGCAUCAAAUUCAGAUUGAAUAUCCUCUCUGAAUAACCGUUAUAAAGUUAUGUAUAGAGUUUGGAAAGAUAGUGUUUUAGGUCAAAUUAAGU
Tigriopus californicus is the source of this 3663-nucleotide long non-coding RNA. RefSeq lists it as uncharacterized. The transcript is spliced from 2 exons. The record is from RefSeq and is a predicted model, not a curated record. Lineage: Eukaryota; Metazoa; Arthropoda; Copepoda; Harpacticoida; Harpacticidae.